ACCCGGAGCCGCAGGACGAGCGCUGCUGGCUCCGAUCCUGGCCCAGGGGUCACCGGGUCAGAGGCGGAGCCUGGGCGGUGUGCCGGGUGCCCAGGCUGGGAGACACCGCCGUCCUGUUGGGGACCCGGUCCCAGGUGAGCGGUGCGCUAGGGGCUGCCACCCGAGGAUUCUCCAGAACUUGGCGCGGCCGAAUGUGCUGAGAGCAGUUAAGCCAUUGAAGGUCACAUUUACUGAAGAGAUCUGAGGAAAGUUGCAAAAGAAGAUCUCUGUCGCUGAACUAUAAUUCUGUAAAUUUGUGGUUAGCUAGGAUAUCCUGUCAGACUGUUUAGUUCUAGUUUCCUUUUCUUAUUUUAAAAGGUCUCUUCCUAAGAAAUGGGUCAUGAGCGCUCAGGCGAUUGGCCCCUAACAAAGCUUUAACUUCUGGGACGCCCAAGUCCCUUGCUACAGUUUUGGGCGUAAAUCGCCCCACCUCGGGACAGAUGAGACAGCCCCCUGCUGGGCGCCACACUGUGGGCAUGAGGCCAGGAGGCCCACCCACCGCAGGCGUCUCCUCCCUGCGCCUCCGCCGUGGAAGCCGGUGACACCCACCUCGUGUCACACAGACAGUGAAACCCACCAUCGUCACCUUGCUCUGGCCUAGCUGUUUUCUCCCAAAGGACCUUUGGUUGGGAGGUGUCCUGGGAUUGUGACAUCAAAGAUCCUCUUCCUUCUGACCCCAGUGUACUUCCACUCUCCUUGUGUAACACCCCAAUAAUCAAUACAAUAAAAAUAGGAAGAUUUUAUUAAUACUCUAAAAAUACUAAUCAGGUACCUCCUGGUGUCUUCCUGGGCCAAAUAAACACAUUCACACACUGCUGGUGGGAAAUUAGAGGACAAUUUCUUUGGCUUUGUGUUGGACAAAAGGAAAGGAUGAGACCAGUAAAAAUACUAGUGGGGGCGGGGGCACCUGGGGCUCAGAGGGUAGAGAGGGCCUCAGGGUCCUGGGUUCAUGCCCCCCAUGGGGUAUAGGGCUUACUCAAAACAAAACAAAACAAAACAGGUAUUUUAAUAUAAAAAAU
RNAcentral lists this long non-coding RNA (1058 nucleotides) under Canis lupus familiaris (dog). RNAcentral's name for it is "lncRNA (ENSCAFG00845027196.1)". Lineage: Eukaryota; Metazoa; Chordata; Mammalia; Carnivora; Canidae. The record is from RNAcentral.